UUAAAUUGAAGAGUUUGAUCAUGGCUCAGAUUGAACGCUGGCGGCAGGCCUAACACAUGCAAGUCGAACGGUAACAGGAAGCAA
RNAcentral lists this ribosomal RNA (84 nucleotides) under Salmonella enterica. Its description in RNAcentral is "partial 16S ribosomal RNA". It matches the Rfam family "Bacterial small subunit ribosomal RNA", at positions 1 to 82 of the family's 1533-position model. The record is from RNAcentral. Lineage: Bacteria; Pseudomonadati; Pseudomonadota; Gammaproteobacteria; Enterobacterales; Enterobacteriaceae.